Molecule: long non-coding RNA, 2779 nt
Filed under: Mytilus galloprovincialis (Mediterranean mussel)
Lineage: Eukaryota; Metazoa; Mollusca; Bivalvia; Mytilida; Mytilidae
Source: RNAcentral
CAGUAAAUCUUUUAAUAAUCAUCCUUCUUGUUCAUUGGUUUGUAAAACUGUGUGGCUUGGAAAUGAUAUGCUGAAAGUUAAAGAGCUGAAACAGAAAAUGUUUAAAGGUAAUUUCACAUCAAUUGUUACAGUUUUUAAAACUUUAAAAGAAAUCGAAGUUACAUUAAGUAAUGAAUUAGGGGCUUACAUUUGACAAGAAAAUUAUUAGUUUAACGUUUGUGCAUUGUCAAAAUAAAUCAUUACUUUGUCCUAAAGUUUUGUGGAGAUGUACCAAGCCGAGGUUAAAACCUUCAUUCCGAAAUUAUUUUAGAUUAUGAAAGUUAUUGACAAGCAACUCAUACAAAUGGAUUCAUGGUCUUUACAAGGGAAAUGAAGGUACCAAAAAGAAUUUUCAAACUCAUAUGUCGAAAAUGGAAUUGAAAAUUACAUUAUAAUUAGCACAAAAAGAAUAACACCAAAACACAAACAACAAUAUAAAAAACAACAUAAAAAACUAAGGAUUCGACUGAGCAACACGAACAAAACCGAAAAAUCGUGGUGAUCUCAAAUGUGAUGGAAGGGAAAAUAGAUCUUGCUCCACAUGUUUUACCUAUAUUUUUGAUCAUGUAAGUACGAACACCGAUGUUGAGAAUUCUAAAUGGAUGGUAAAAUUUCUAAGAAAAUAGGACGGGAUUAUGAAAACGACAUUUGUCAUCUGUGAGACAGAUAUCCAGAAAGGUCAACCAAAUCGUGAUGGUGUUCGUAAAAUUAUCAAAAGGACGACUUCAACUUUUCAAUUUUGAACUCUUGGUCAGUUUUCGUGUAAGAAGCAACCUUCUUUCAAAGAAAUCAAGAUAUGAAAGGCAUGUUCUAAAAUAUUGUAACAACUGGGAGAUGUAUAGUCCCGACUGCUCAGAAAUUUAUCAACAAUUUUAGAUAAAGAGAAAUGCAGUUUCCAAAACCAAGCCGUAACUAGGCAUCUUCUUUUAGUGAGGCAAAAGAAUUGAUUUUUUUUUGAAGUAUGAAAUGAAGUGCAAAAAUCCUGCAUUCUAGGCAUUUAGAGAGUUUGAUAAUGUUUUGAAUUGGACACUUUUUAUAUAAUUUUCAUAUUUUAAGAUUUUUACUAACACAAAUUUUAACAACUUAUUUAAAUUUAAUGCAAGACAAUCAUUCAAAUAUCACUGAUGAGUCUGUUGCCAGAACAUAGAACAAACAUCGAUCAGAAGAGUUUGAAUUUUUAUAUGGCCGGUUCAGUCAAUCGUUCAGAAUCAUAAUUGUCUGCUGAUAUCUAAUGAACGGGCAUGGCAAGACCUCACAAUCUCUCGCCACUCAUGCUGCUCUUUUCCAAGUUUUUCAGUCGUUUCAGGGCAGUCUGUGUUUCUACGGUAGCACAUUAUCAUCAACCAAUGAUCAAUGCUUCUUCCAUUCCUUCUCCUCAGCAAUUGUUAGCAGCUUUUGUUUGAAAGGAAUAAGCUUUCUGUAAGCACCAUCAUACAGUCGCUGUUACAAAAUAUUAAACUCGCUUUUAUGCUGACAAAGAUAGACAAGCUAGAUAGAAUGAGAUACAUACAUGUGAUAUGAUUCUAUCAUAGAGUAAGUAUAUAUGAUAUGGGUACAGGAAAAUUGGAAUGGAGUUUUGACGUUUACAUGUAGUACCGUAAUUUCAAAUUAUUUCUGGAAAAAGUUGGUGCUAUUUAGUUUCAGGUUAGGGAUGGGUGUCCGAUUCCGAAACCCCAAAUAUAAAGAAACGAAAUUCAGUAGUCCCGAAUAAGUAGACAUUUCGCAAUAAUAUCAAAUAUUCUUUCAACUUAUAAGAUUAAAGAAACAUGGAUAAAAACUAAUCCAUGCAUUCAUGUUUCAUAUUAUUUAUAUUUUAUUUAUCUGUAAAGAGAAGAUAAAGUUCGUGAAAUGAAUACGCAGAUAGGACUGCCCCUUGUGAAGCCCAGUACUUGAUUUGUCAAAAGUUGGUGAAACGGAGAAAUGAAUACGCAGACAGGACUGUCCCUUCCGAAGACAGUACUUUGAUUUGUCAGUCACUUAUCGUUUUGGAUUGUUCUAAUGAAGUUAUAUGCAAUAUCAGACUCUGUUUAAAAAAAAAACACAGUUUAAUACUAGAACAUUCCUUCUUUACCUUCAUGUCGCUUUUCCUUUUCUGCAAGAGCCUGUUUUUAACUAAAGAUCCAUGAUGAUUAUCGUUACUAGUUAAUGUAAUCGAGAAACAUCACCCCACUGAGAGCUGAGUUAUAUCAGAAGAAUAGUUAAAGGAAUGAUGACAAGUUAUAGCAAUCAAGUUGAACAGAAAACAAAUGACUAUUAAAUUAUAUAUAGUUUAAAAAAAAAAAUAAUCGUGUCGAAAUUUUAGUGAGGCAAUUGCCUCACUUGCCUCAAGGGUAGUUACGGCCUUGCACAUUAGAAAAUAUUUACUGAGAAGGACAAUGAAGAAUCAUAAGUUAAAAAUAAAACCCAAUUUUAUGACCAAAAGAAAAUCUAUAAAGAUUAUCAACAGCCCAUAUAUCCUGUUCUACCUAAGAUACAAUAAGGUAAAAAAACAUAUCUUUAAGAUAAUGAAUAUCUGAUAACUUAAUAAAAUGACAAUUUUAAAAGUUUCAACAGUUUACCAUCUACAUAUGGCUUUCAAUAUCUUUUCUUUAAAUGUUUCUGUUUAUUUUAGAGUACGCUAUUCGGAGAAUUAAAACGUCCCUACAAGGAAAUGUAAAUUGGAAAAUAAAAUACCGAAAAACAAAAAAUAGAAACAGAAGAAGAAUAAGAUCCAAGCAUAAUAAAAUAUAUAUGACUAGGA